Molecule: ribosomal RNA, 253 nt
Filed under: uncultured bacterium
Lineage: Bacteria
Description: partial 16S ribosomal RNA
Rfam family: Bacterial small subunit ribosomal RNA
Source: RNAcentral
UACAGAGGUGGCAAGCGUUGUUCGGAAUUACUGGGCGUAAAGGGCUCGUAGGCGGCCAACUAAGUCAGACGUGAAAUCCCCAGGCUCAACCUGGGAACUGCGUCUGAUACUGGAUGGCUUGAAUUCGGGAGAGGGAUGCAGAAUUCCAGGUGUAGCGGUGAAAUGCGUAGAUAUCUGGAGGAAUACCGGUGGCGAAGGCGGCAUCCUGGACCGACAUUGACGCUGAUGAGCGAAAGCUAGGGGAGCAAACGGG